AUGGAAACCCUGACAUUACUGAUAUCUCACUCCUCAUAUCAAUCUCUAUACAAGAAGAGUUUCAAAAGGAUGCACUUCAGCACUUCUAUCAGAAAGGCUGAACACCCUAAGAAAUCCCCAGUACCCACAUGUAUCUCAUUGGCAAAGGAAACCAGUAAGCUGAAGAAAAUGUGGGAAGAUUUGGGUAGAGCAAUUCCGGACAUGAAGAAACAUACCAGACAGUUGCUGAACUUGGAGAAACGUUCUGACCACCAUUUUAGGCUUUCCUCACCUCUACUGUCCUACCAAAACGAUACUGUGACUCCGUAACAACAACAACCACAAAAAUUACAAACACAAAAACCUAAAGUUAUAACUGUUUUUAAAAUUGGAACGUGUCCUAAACUUGAUAGAUAUUGGCCUAAAACCACUUUUAGGAGGCAUAUUCCCAUGCGGCUCUCUAUUGUAUUGUGUGCAUAGAACUUUUCAGAACCACUGCUGAAGAAAUGGUUAAAUAAAGAAUUUUGCUGCUCCUGUUUUACUACUUUA
RNAcentral lists this long non-coding RNA (528 nucleotides) under Felis catus (domestic cat). RNAcentral describes it as "lncRNA (ENSFCAG00000047241.1)". Lineage: Eukaryota; Metazoa; Chordata; Mammalia; Carnivora; Felidae. The record is from RNAcentral.